RNAcentral lists this ribosomal RNA (459 nucleotides) under uncultured bacterium. Its description in RNAcentral is "partial 16S ribosomal RNA". It matches the Rfam family "Bacterial small subunit ribosomal RNA", at positions 338 to 795 of the family's 1533-position model. The record is from RNAcentral.
CCUACGGGAGGCAGCAGUGAGGAAUAUUGGUCAAUGGGCGCGAGCCUGAACCAGCCAAGUCGCGUGAGGGAAGACGGUCCUAUGGAUUGUAAACUUCUUUUGUCGGGGAGCAAAAGACGCCACGCGUGGCGGUCAGAGAGUACUCGAAGAAAAAGCAUCGGCUAACUCCGUGCCAGCAGCCGCGGUAAUACGGAGGAUGCGAGCGUUAUCCGGAUUUAUUGGGUUUAAAGGGUGCGCAGGCGGAAGAUUAAGUCAGCGGUAAAAUUGAGAGGCUCAACCCCGUCGAGCCGUUGAAACUGGUUGUCUUGAGAGGGUGAGAGGUAUGCGGAAUGCGUGGUGUAGCGGUGAAAUGCAUAGAUAUCACGCAGAACUCCGAUUGCGAAGGCAGCAUACCGGCGCUCAACUGACGCUGAUGCACGAAAGUGUGGGUAUCGAACAGGAUUAGAUACCCGUGUAGUC